This is a long non-coding RNA of Salvelinus fontinalis (brook trout), 951 nucleotides long. RefSeq lists it as uncharacterized. The record is from RefSeq and is a predicted model, not a curated record. The transcript has 2 exons. NCBI's taxonomy places the organism in Eukaryota, Metazoa, Chordata, Actinopteri, Salmoniformes, Salmonidae.
GACGUUGGGUUGGGGGUAGGUUUAUGACAGUCAUAAAUACCUCUUUCCCCCUUUUUCUCUCUCCCUAUUAUAACUGAUGUGACAUAAGGAAACCCAUGGGUUAACAUAGAGAUUCUGGGUAACAUCAGAAGUUGGGGGAAAUGAACUAUAUUCUGGUAACCCGACCAACUGAACAUAUGCGGUGGUACUUAAGGUAUAUUAUGUCAGUUCGGUUGCCCUCUGACACAUUCUCAUCAAGGAUUGAAUGACAUAAACUCUACUGUGGAAAGUCUAAAUGUCAGAGAUAUCGGAUUCACAUGGAAUUGUUGUUUAAUUCAAAUGUUUGAAUAUGACAUUAUUUGUGAAGAGAUGAAAUGUAAUUUUAGCUUCCAAAGGAGAGAUCUGUGCUUUCAUAAGUUUCUCUGCUCACAGUGGUCCGCCCCUGUGAAGAGGAAUGGGUUAUAAACCUUUCAGACACACCCCUCUCCCUCCACUAUAAAAGCCAUUGAACCAGAAUAUAACUUGCUGUUCCGGGUAUGCUAGGAUGACGAUCCAGUGUCAGAAUGGUUCAGAUAAUCACUAUAGAUGAAGCCAACAUCAGCAUGGACUUUGAUUGUGAAUGAGACAUUCUUCAAAGGACAGAGGACUCGGGUGAUGACACGGGCCAUCUACCACCAACCUACUGAAGCGCAGCUCAGAGUAAAUAUUGAUUGCAUUUUCCUCUUCAAAUGGGCGGUAAUUUAGAAUGCAUAAGAUACUGUAUUUACGAUAGCACAGCUCGCCUAUGUCAAGUCUCCCGCUCUUUCACUAGGACUCCCCCCCUUUCCUUUGUGUAACAAGCUGUCAUAUCGAUUCUGCCCGCUAGGGACGUUUUUCUGUAUGACGUAAUUUGUGAUCAAGUUAUGAUUUAAUUGUGUAUGUGUGUUUCUGUGUGAUUAGUUAGGUAUUUAGUAAAUAAAUAAUUAAACCCAA